GACGAACGCUGGCGGCGUGCCUAACACAUGCAAGUCGAGCGAGGCCCCUCCUUCGGGUGGGUCUCCUAGCGGCGAACGGGUGAGUAACACGUGGGCAACCUGCCCUCAGCCCUGGGAUAACUCCGGGAAACCGGGGCUAAUACCGGAUACGACCUCCACGGGCAUCUGCGGAGCCGGAGAGUUUUUCGGCUGGGGAUGGGCUCGCGGCCUAUCAGCUUGUUGGUCGGGUAGUGGCCCACCAAGACGACGACGAGCAGCCGGCCUGAGAGGGCGACCGGCCACACUAGGACUGAGACACGGCCCGGACUCCUACGGGAGGCAACGGUGGAGAAUGGUGCACUAUGGGAGAGAGCCUGACGCGGCGAAGCAGCGUGGGGGGCGAGAGGCUUCGGGUAGUAAAGCUCUGUCAGCAGAGACGAAGCGAAAGUGACGGUACCUGCAGAAGAAGCACCGGCCAACUACGUG
This 465-nucleotide ribosomal RNA is filed under the name uncultured bacterium. RNAcentral's name for it is "partial 16S ribosomal RNA". It matches the Rfam family "Bacterial small subunit ribosomal RNA", at positions 28 to 507 of the family's 1533-position model. The record is from RNAcentral.